RNAcentral lists this long non-coding RNA (899 nucleotides) under Ricinus communis (castor bean). RNAcentral describes it as "long non-coding RNA (RCOM_LNC002063)". Lineage: Eukaryota; Viridiplantae; Streptophyta; Magnoliopsida; Malpighiales; Euphorbiaceae. The record is from RNAcentral.
UGCCUGCAUGUUGGUCAAUUCUUCCUAUUUUGUUCAGUUUCAGGUGAACAGGAACUCCAAAAACCCUAGAAAUUGAUCAUGCACGUGAAAACAAACCAAAAUCAAUUAGAAAAACAUUAAAAUUAAAUAAAGCAAGGCAAGGAACAAUUAAAACAUAAAAAAUAAACUCUAACAUGAGAAAAUAGUCAAUUCAUAGUAAUCAUACUGCAAUCUUGAUUCAAUUAGAAAAAGAAACUAGAUCUGAUCAUAUAUCAUGCCAAACCGAUUAACAUUCAUGAAAAUAACAAGAAUAGAAAGGAACUAACAUAUUCUAAACAUAUAGACAAUUUAGAUGAGUAGAGUAGCUAAUUAGAAAAUUAUAUAAGAUGGGCGGUAUAAAUAAGAAAGCUAUCCUAAAAAACUUAUAGAACGACAGUUUCAUUAAAGUAGAUAAUUAAAAUAAUAACAUACCUUAUCAUGGAAAAACCAAAUUGAAAAUCCUAAUCAUGCAUAUCUUAACUUAAAUCUUCAUAAUCAUGGCAAAACCUAGUAGAUCUAGCCUAAUCAUAUUGAGAUUCAGAAGGGAAAGAAAUUUAAUCAUGUGAAUAAACUAGCAUAUCUAAAUCAUGCGAGUAACGAAUCUAGACAUAUGAAGACAUAUAUCAAAUCUAGAUCAAGCAUAUGAAAACUAUCAUAUCAUAUUUAAACAAUAAGAAACCAGUAAUAAAGAAAGUAAACAUGAUGAGAUGGUGGAUAAAAAAACCCUCACAUUGUCACCGUAUUGCCUAGUCUCUUAAAUCUCAAGAGGAGGAAGAGAGAUUAGUUUAAAAAUAAGGUAGGAAUCCAAAGUGUUUAGGUUUUGAGAGUGUUAGAAUGUUUUAGUAUUUUUUGCCCAACACUUACCAAGAAUUUUCCAUCAU